CACAUGCAAGUCGAACGGGAUCCAAGGAGCGUUUUUCGUUUUUUGGUGAGAGUGGCGAACGGGUGAGUAACACGUGAGUAACCUGUCCUUUUCUUUGGGAUAAGCUCCUGAAAGGGUGUUUAAUACCUUAUGUUCUGUCUGCCUCGCAUGGGGUGGGCGGGAAAGAUUUUUUCGGUGAAGGGUGGGCUCGCGGUCUAUCAGCUUGUUGGUGGGGUGAUGGCUUACCAAGGCUUUGACGGGUAGCCGGCCUGAGAGGGUGGUCGGUCACAUUGGGACUGAGAUACGGCCCAGACUCCUGCGGGAGGCAGCAGUGGGGGAUAUUGCACAAUGGGCGCAAGCCUGAUGCAGCGACGCCGCGUGGGGGAUGAAGGCCUUCGGGUUGUAAACUUCUUUUGCUCUGAACAAGGCGCACCAUGGGGUGUGUUGAGUGUAGGGGUUGAUUAGCGCCGGCUAACUACGUGCCAGCAGCCGCGGUAAUACGUAGGGCGCAAGCGUUGUCCGGAAUUAUUGGGCGUAAAGGGCUUGUAGGUGGCUGGUUGCGUCUGUCGUGAAAGCUCAUGGCUUAACUGUGGGUUUGCGGUGGGUA
RNAcentral lists this ribosomal RNA (586 nucleotides) under uncultured Actinomycetes bacterium. Its description in RNAcentral is "bacterial SSU rRNA". It matches the Rfam family "Bacterial small subunit ribosomal RNA", at positions 52 to 632 of the family's 1533-position model. The record is from RNAcentral. Lineage: Bacteria; Bacillati; Actinomycetota; Actinomycetes.